AAAGAAAGUUCCCUUGUUUUUCUUUUGUUUUUCUUUUUUUUCUCCUUUUUUUUUUGCUCGUUUUUCCUUUCU
RNAcentral lists this non-coding RNA (72 nucleotides) under Palpitomonas bilix. The record is from RNAcentral.